CUGAUUAACUGAAUAAUACCGAAGACAGUAUGUGGCGCAUGCCUUAAUAUCAUACCGAGGAUAAAGUGAUGAAAGUCAAUUUACACUCCCUCUAUGUCUACGGUGACAUGGGGUUUUUUUAUGCCAUA
Molecule: non-coding RNA, 128 nt
Organism: Alkalibacterium sp. AK22
Lineage: Bacteria; Bacillati; Bacillota; Bacilli; Lactobacillales; Carnobacteriaceae
Source: Rfam